GACGAACGCUGGCGGCGUGCUUAACACAUGCCAGUCGAACGGAAAGGCCCUGCUUUUGUGGGGUGCUCGAGUGGCGAACGGGUGAGUAACACGUGAGUAACCUGCCCUUGACUUUGGGAUAACUUCAGGAAACUGGGGCUAAUACCGGAUAGGAGCUCCUGCUGCAUGGUGGGGGUUGGAAAGUUUCGGCGGUUGGGGAUGGACUCGCGGCUUAUCAGCUUGUUGGUGGGGUAGUGGCUUACCAAGGCUUUGACGGGUAGCCGGCCUGAGAGGGGGACCGGCCACAUUGGGACUGAGAUACGGCCCAGACGCCUACGGGAGGCAGCAGUGGGGAAUAUUGCACAGUGGGCGGAAGCCUGAUGCAGCAGCGCCGCGUGCGGGAUGACGGCCUUCGGGUUGUAAACCGCUUUCGCCUGUGACGAAGCGUGAGUGACGGUAAUGGGUAAAGAAGCACCGGCUAACUACGUG
Molecule: ribosomal RNA, 468 nt
Filed under: uncultured bacterium
Lineage: Bacteria
Description: partial 16S ribosomal RNA
Rfam family: Bacterial small subunit ribosomal RNA
Source: RNAcentral